UGCAAGAGUACCCAAGCGGUUAUGGGGCAGGUCUUAUAAACCUGUUGCGGUAUGUUCGACUCAUACCUCUUGCAU
Molecule: transfer RNA, 75 nt
Filed under: uncultured Clostridium sp.
Lineage: Bacteria; Bacillati; Bacillota; Clostridia; Eubacteriales; Clostridiaceae
Description: tRNA-Ile(tat)
Rfam family: tRNA
About the family: Transfer RNA (tRNA) molecules are approximately 80 nucleotides in length. Their secondary structure includes four short double-helical elements and three loops (D, anti-codon, and T loops).
Source: RNAcentral